AUACGUAGGUGACAAACGUUAUCCGGAUUUACUGGGCGUAAAGGGCGUGUAGGCGGUCUUGCAAGUCAGAAGUGAAAUUCCUGAGCUCAACUCGGGCGCUGCUUCUGAAACUGCAGGACUUGAGUGCUGGAGGGGAUAGCGGAAUUCCUAGUGGAGCGGUAAAAUGCGCAGAUAUUAGGAAGAACACCGGUGGCGAAGGCGGCUAUCUGGACAGUAACUGACGCUGAGGCGCGAAAGUGUGGGGAGCAAACAGGAUUAGAUACCCUGGUAGUCCACACUGUAAACGAUGAAUGCUAGGUGUAGGGGGUAUCGACCCCUUCUGUGCCGCAGUCAACACAAUAAGCAUUCCGCCUGGGGAGUACGGCCGCAAGGUUGAAACUCAAAUGAAUUGGCGGGG
RNAcentral lists this ribosomal RNA (397 nucleotides) under uncultured bacterium. RNAcentral's name for it is "partial 16S ribosomal RNA". It matches the Rfam family "Bacterial small subunit ribosomal RNA", at positions 523 to 918 of the family's 1533-position model. The record is from RNAcentral.